Molecule: ribosomal RNA, 329 nt
Filed under: uncultured bacterium
Lineage: Bacteria
Description: bacterial SSU rRNA
Rfam family: Bacterial small subunit ribosomal RNA
Source: RNAcentral
ACCGAAAGGUGGUCUAAUACUUCAUAAUAUCCAUCUCGUAUGGAUUAAAGCUUUAUGCGCUUUGGGAGGGGCCUGCGUAACAUUAGCUAGUUGGUGAGGUAAAAGCUCACCAAGGCUUCGAUGUUUAACUGGUUUGAGAGGAUGACCAGUCACACUGGGACUGAGAUACGGCCCAGACUCCUACGGGAGGCAGCAGUAAGGAAUCUUCCACAAUGGGGCAACCCUGAUGGAGCAAUACCGCGUGCAGGAUGAAGCGUUUCGGCGUGUAAACUGCUUUAUCACCGAAGAUUAUGACUGUAGGUGAAGAAUAAGGACCGGCUAACUACGUG